CAUCUUAAAGACACCUGCACAGCAACAUCCAGACUGGUGUUUGACCAGAUAACUGGGUGGACACAGACAUUAAGCUUCACAAGGCCUCACCUGAACCGGGUUCCAAGGGGUCAUCUCCAUAGCAGAGGCUGACCCCUGGCAACUUGAACACUGGUAGCCCACGCCCAGGCAGUGGUCCUCCGGCCUGAAGAUCUUGUGAGCUGGCGACGAGCCUGGGGCUCUGAUGGGUGGAACUGCCAUCCACUGGAAGAGGCAGGUGCCGCCCACUCCCCAGGCUGAGGAAGGGGGCGAGGAGCUGUCUGUGCCGGGGUCCGCCAAGACCCCCCCCGCCAGGAACUCCACGUGGGCUUCCUAGAAGCUGCCGCUGAUCUGGACCCAGUGCGGCUGGGAUGGGUGGCUGGUGAGGAAACACAGCCCGAGAGAGGGGGUCCUUCGUCCUUGCCAUCGGGGUGCCAGGCUGUGGAUGGGACUGCAAUAGGUUAAAGGGGCCUCAGGUUCUCUGCUGCCCCUCUUGCCAGGAGGGAGAGGGAUCCCCUGCCUUUGAGUCUGUGACCUUUGACCUCGCUUGUCCGAAGGGAUGCAGCAGAAGUGUCACGUGUCUGUUCCCAGGGAGACCCGGGAGCAGCCUUACAGUUGAGCUCCUGGACCCCAGACCCAGGGUAAGGCUGGGCUGGCCUGCUAGAGAGAGGCCACGUGGGGCAGGGGCCCUGGUGGGUGAGUCCCCUGUGGGGAGGGCGUGACAACUGAGGCGCUCUGGCAGAAGUCAGCCCCCAGCCCCCAGAAGGACGCGAUCCCCCGCGAAACAGCAGGGGCCCCCAUCAGACCACAGCCAGGCGCCUGCCAUGUCCUGGAGGGGUUUGUUACACAGCAGUAAUUGAAGCACGUACACAGGACAACAUGGCCAGUGGCAAGAUUAAAGAAAUGUGUUCCUGGGAACAUUCUGCCCUCAAAAGGGGAAUAAAGACUUGAUAAAAGAAAAGGACCCUCUCAUGACUUGCUUUUUUUUUUUUUAAAUACAGUUUUGAAAGUUUAUGCUCCCUUUACAGUUAUUACGAGGUAUUGGCUCUAGUCCCUGUGUUGUACAAUACGUCUGAUAACUUGUACUUCCUGCUCCCCCACCUCGAUAUGGGACCCUCCCACUGGUAACCACUAAUUUGUUUUCUGUAUCUGUGAAUGUUGCUGCAAAUGGCAUGACUUAAUUCUUUUUAAUGGCUGUAUAGUAUUCCAUGGUAUCUACACACCCUAUCUUCCUUAUCCAUUCAUCUGUUGAUGGACACUUAAGUUGCUGCCGUGUCUUGGCAGUUGUAAAUAAUGCUGCUGUGAACGUUGGGGUUCUUGAAUCUCUUCAAAUAUGAACACGUGGGCUUCCAAGUGUUCCUAUUUUUUUUUCCAGAUAUAUACUCAGGAGUGGAACUGCUGGGUCAUAUGAUAGUUCUAUUUUUUUUUUUUAAUCUCCGUACUGUUUUCCACAGUGGCUGCACAGUUUAUAUUCCCACCAGCAGUGCAGGAGGGUCCCCUUCUCUCCACACCCUCUCCAGCAUUUGCUAUUUGUGUUCUUUUUGAUAAGGGCCCUUCUGACCUGUGUGAGGUGAUAUUUCAUUGUGGUUUAAAUUUUUUUUUGUUGUUAAAUUUUUUUGGUGAAAGUAUAGUUGAUGUACACUACCUCGCUAAUUUCUGCAGCACAGCAAAGUGACUCAGUCACACGUCUGUGUACAUUGUGGUUUUGAUUUGCGUGUCCCUGAUAAUUAGUGACGCUGAGCAUCUUAUCAUGUGCCCGUUGGCCACUCGUGACUUACUUUGAUCUUAACUAUGCAGAGAAUGGGGAAGGGUCCAAUGGUUGGAGAAACAGAUUUGGUGGCACAGGGGUCUCUGGAUGCUGGAAACCGUCUCAUCUUUGCCAUUGCCGUGACACUUUGGGCCGUACAGUCUCCAAUCUGUGGCUUGGGGCUCUCGGAGCCGCUAAAGGGGUGCGGUUGGUCCUGCAGGCAGAGCUUGGGUGGCCACCUGAAAAGUGGCUGAAACGAGUGCCCCGUAGGAGCCCUGCCAGCCUCUACAUGGUGCCAGCAGGGAGCACUGAUGAGAUUGAAGGAAAACAGAUGUUGUAAUGGAGUCUCGUGUGCUCCCGGGGUGAUGACCUUGGGGAUCUGGAAGCCAAAGAUGCAGCUAAGCCAAGGUCAGGUUAUUGUCCAAGCCUCGUGAAACCCACCCCAUGGGGUGCCUCCCUGGGGAGCCCAGGCUUCCCCCACGGCUGCUUCCUCCCACCCUAUGAAGUUCAUUCCAAAGGGAUGAGGGCAGGUGGAAAGCAGGUGAAACUACUAGCUGCCUACAGUGAGAAGCUUCACCUGUCCCCGAAGUCCAAAAAAGAUGCCCAGAAGCUUGCUAAUGCCACAGCCAAUGGAAGUCCUUGGUCAAAGGCCCUUCUGUGGAGGAAGGGGAAGCCAACAGACACCCUGCCCUGGGAGCAGAGGCGUCUUCUUCCUCCUGGACGGAGAGAGCAGCAUAGACGCGGUCUGCGUCCUAUGGAGUGUCCUUAGCUGCCCUCUCCAUGGAGACGCGGGGACCAGCUGAUGGUGGUUUGGAAAAAGGUGGUUUAUGUUCCAGCAACUGCUGUGGGGUGGGAGGUACGUUCAUUGGGCGAGAUUCCAUUUGGAACAGUGAAAAUCAGUGCUAUAGUGUUAUAAUUUGAACAUGUUUAUGUUUUCAAAUGACUUAAUUUUUAAGUGUUUAUGAUUUAUAAUUUUACAUCGAAAGGUUGUAAUUUUCAUUUCAUAUUACUUAUAGUAGUAGUCUCUGAACAGACAUGAUUAAUUUGUUGUUGUUGUUGGGGCUGCACCCGCAGUACAUGGAAGCUUCCAGGCUAGGGGUUGAAUCGGAGCUAUAGCUGCCGGCUUCUGCCACAGCCACAGCAUCGCAGGAUCCAAGCCACGUCUGCAACCUACGCCAUGGUUCUGGCAACACCGGAUCCCUAACCCACUGAGCAAGGUCAGGGAUUGAACCCGCAUCCUCACAGAUACUAGUCAGAUUUGUUUCCAUUGUGCCACGAAGGGAACUCUCUGAAAUGAUUAAUUUUUAUACAGUCAAAUCUUCUAUUUUAUUUUUUCUGUCUUUGGAGGGCUGCACCCACGGUAUGUGGAAGUUGCCAGGCUGGGGGUCGAAUUGGACCUGCAGCUGCCAACCUGCACCACAGCAACGCCAGAUCCAAGCAGCGUCUGUGACCUACACCACAGCUCACGGCAACUCCAGAUUCUUAACCCAGUGAGCGAGGCCAGGGAUGGAACCCACAUCCUCGCAGAUACUAGUCGGGUUCGUUACCACUGAUCCGUGAUGGGAACUCCAACAGUCAAAUCUUGUAAUCAUUUCCUUUCCUCACUAUUAUGUAUUUUUAAUAGACUAUUUUUUAAAGAGUGGCUUUCAGUUGUGACAGGAGAAUUGAGUGGAAUUUCCUGUAUACUUCCUGCCCCCACGAGAUGCAUGGCCUCCCUGCUAUCAAGUCCUGCACCAGAGUGGUGCAUUUGUUACAGUCAGUGAGCCUGCCUUGACCUAUUUUCAUCUGACGACCAGAGUCUGCACUAGGAGUCUCUCUUGGCGUACGUUCUGUGGACUUGGAUAGAUGCAUAAUGACGUGGACCCCCUAUUAUGGUCUCACAUAGAGUAGUUUCAAUGCUUUACAAAUCCUCUAUGCUCUGCAGAUUCGUCCCUUCUAACCCCCGCCCCCGCCCCGGGGGAACCACUGAUCUGUCUCUGUGUCCACACUUCUGCCUUUGCCAUAAUGACAGAGAGUGGGAAGCAGAGCACAGGCUUUUCAGAUUGUCUUCUUUCACCUGGAAAUAUGCAUUUAAGGCUCCUCCAUGGCUUUUCAUGGCUGACAGCUCGUUUCUUGUUAUUUCGGAGUAACAGUCCAUCAUGCGGAGGGACCGCGGCUUAUUUACCCGUUCACCUAUGCAAGGACAUUUUGAUGGCUUUCAAGUUUUGGCAGUUAGGAAUAAGGCUGCUAUAAACGGGUACGGGCCGGGUUUUGUCUGGAUAUAAAUGUCCAGGUCAUUGGGGUAAAUACCAAGGACAGUGCUUGCUGGCUUGUGUGUGCGGGGUAAGAGUGUGUUCAGUUUCGUAAAACGUCCAAACUGUCUUUCAGAGGGGCUGUGCCAUUUGGCAUGCCCACCAGCAGCGAAUGAGAGUUCCCGUGGCUCCCUGUCCUCACCGACGUUUGGCGCUGUCGCUGUUGGAUUUUGGCCAUCCUAAGGUGUGUGGUGGUAGCUCACUGAGGUUUUAAUUGGCCGUUCCCGCAUCAUAUGACGUGGAGCAUCUGUUCUGGUGCAGUGUCUUUUCAGAUCUUUUGUGCAUUUAUUAAUUGAGGUGUUCAUUUCCUCAUGGUCAAGUCUUAAAAGGUGUUUGUCUGUUUUGUAGAAGUUAAUCAGUUGUGUCUCUCGCGAAUAUUUUCUCCCAGUGUGUGGCCUGACUUCUCAUUCUCUCGACGUGUCUUGUGCAGGGCACCAGUUUUUAAUUUCGGUGAAGUCCAGGUUAUCAAUAAUUUAUUUCACGGAUCACGUCUCUGUGUUGGAGCUUCGCCGUGCUCAAGAUCACCUGAAUGUUCUCCUCUGUUGUCUUCUAGGGCUUUUAUAGUUUUGCAUUUUAUAUUUGGGGGUAUGAACCAUUUUGAGUUGCUUUUUAUGAGAGGUGUAAGGUCUAUGUCUAGAUGCAUUUUUUUGUGUGUGCGUGGGAAUGUCCAGUUGUUCCAGCACCAUUUGUCAAAAGAUAAUCUUUGCUUCUUUGCAUUUCCUCUGUGCCCUUAUUAAAGAUCUGUUGAAGAGUUCCUGUUGUGGCACAGUGUUUAACGAAUCCGACUAGGAACCAUGAGGUUGCGGGUUCGGUCCCUGCCCUUGCUCAGUGGGUCAAGGAUCCAGCGUUGCCAUGAGCUGGGUGUAGGUCGCAGACACGGCUCGGAUCCCGCGUGGCUGUGGCUCUGGCGUAGGCUGGCGGCUACAGCUCCGAUGAGACCCCUAGCCUGAGAACCUCCAUAUGCCGCGGGAGCGGCCCUAGAAAAGGCAGAAAGACCAAAAAAAAAA
RNAcentral lists this long non-coding RNA (5063 nucleotides) under Sus scrofa (pig). RNAcentral's name for it is "lncRNA (ENSSSCG00050051749.1)". The record is from RNAcentral. Lineage: Eukaryota; Metazoa; Chordata; Mammalia; Artiodactyla; Suidae.